UGGAAGUGCCGAUUACCAUUGACUCUGGUAGUAACGCAGACUUCAUAGGACUGGAUUUCCUUCAAGAGCACAACAUAGCACUCCUGCCAGCCACGCUGCCUCUGAAAGUUGUCACGGUGGAUGGCAGGGAAUUGCUGGGGGGGCAGGUGGUGCAGCAAACGCCUCCGAUGGUGAUGCAAAUUGGGAAUCACCGAGAAGUCAUCAGCUUCAAUGUCACCCAACUGUCGGACACGCCUAUAGUAUUAGGCAUGAGUUGGCUGCACAGGCACAGCCCAGCAUUG
Podarcis lilfordi (Lilford's wall lizard) is the source of this 281-nucleotide non-coding RNA. The record is from the annotation of a GenBank genome assembly. NCBI's taxonomy places the organism in Eukaryota, Metazoa, Chordata, Lepidosauria, Squamata, Lacertidae.